This 512-nucleotide ribosomal RNA is filed under the name uncultured bacterium. Its description in RNAcentral is "bacterial SSU rRNA". It matches the Rfam family "Bacterial small subunit ribosomal RNA", at positions 28 to 522 of the family's 1533-position model. The record is from RNAcentral.
GACGAACGCUGGCGGCGUGCCUAAUACAUGCAAGUCGAGCGGACUUCUUAAGGGCUUGCUCUUAAGAGGUUAGCGGCGGACGGGUGAGUAACACGUGGGCAACCUGCCCGACAGACUGGGAUAACGCUUGGAAACGAGUGCUAAUACCGGAUAGGCUUUUCCUUCGCAUGAAGGAGAAGAGAAAGAAGCUUUCGCUUCACUGUCGGAUGGGCCCGCGGCGCAUUAGCUAGUUGGUGAGGUAACGGCUCACCAAGGCGACGAUGCGUAGCCGACCUGAGAGGGUGACCGGCCACACUGGGACUGAGACACGGCCCAGACUCCUACGGGAGGCAGCAGUAGGGAAUCUUCCACAAUGGGCGCAAGCCUGAUGGAGCAACGCCGCGUGAAUGAUGAAGGCCUUCGGGUUGUAAAAUUCUGUCUUCUGUGAAGAACAAGUGUGAGAAGGGAAUGCUCACACCCUGACGGUAACAGAGGAGGAAGCCCCGGCUAACUACGUGCCAGCCGCCGCCGUA